Molecule: unclassified non-coding RNA, 2244 nt
Filed under: Hevea brasiliensis (rubber tree)
Lineage: Eukaryota; Viridiplantae; Streptophyta; Magnoliopsida; Malpighiales; Euphorbiaceae
Source: RNAcentral
GAAAAAACUAUUUCAAAGCGACGCAGCCGAAAAAGAAGCUUUCUGCGCUCGCUUGCUCACUCACUUACCCAAUCGAAGCAGAUGCCAGUUCCCUCCAUGUUUUCGCUACACUCUCUUCUCCUCCUACUGAUCUCUAUGAUGUUAAGUUUGGUUACAGCUUUAAGUGAUGGAGGGUUCUGCUCCGCACCUUCAUUAUUUGAUGCGGAAAAGGAUUCCAAACCUCGCUACUGGAAAGUUACAAAUCCCACUCUUUCCCCUUCUCAUCUUCAAGACUUACCAGGUUUCACACGCAGUGUUUAUAAAAGAGACCAUGCUUUAAUAACACCUGAAAGUCAUGUAUUCAGUCCUUUACCUGGGUGGACAAAUACAUUAGGAGCAUAUCUAAUCACGCCGGCUAUGGGCUCGCACUUUGUGAUGUACUUAGCAAAGAUGCAAGGUUUGUUCAUAUUUGAGCUGUCAAAAGUUUUAUUUAUGCUUUUUAUUGUCAUUCUUCAUGGAUUCCAGAUUCUAAUAUGGUUUAUGAAUCCAAUGAUUCAUGUGCUGCACUUUAAUAAGAUAAAACAAUAUAGUAAGUUGAGGCUGUCACCUGGCUCUCCAAUCACAUAUUAGCACUCAUCAUGCAUUAAUCAGUGCAUAGGGUUGUCAAAACUUGCUUUUUUAAUCUAGAAUUGGUAAUUUGGUGAAAUAUCUGUGGUGGUGGUCAACUUUGGCUGGAAUCUGAAUCUCUUUCUAAAUUUUCUUUCGUCUUUCUUCCUCUGUGGUCAGUAGGGCAGAGCUGCAAUCCUGUAAUAGUGAUGUUUAUGUGACUAGGCUAAAUAUUUUCCUCUUGGAGAUGGCACAGGGAUACAUAUUAGGAAAUAUUUAUAUUCUAACAUUUAGAGAGAAUAAAUCUCUGGAUAACUUUUGGUGUGAUAACUCAUUCCUUCAUGUUCUUUAAUUUAAGUGAAGCAUCUGUGUUUUGUGGCAUUCAUCUGGAAAACAUGGUAUGCCUACCUACUAAAUUUGUUUAUUUGUUAAUUAAUAUAAGCACCACCUUUACAGGAAAAUCAAGAUCAGGGCUCCCUCCUCUUGAUGUAGAGAGGUGUAUUAAUUUUUCUAAGUUUUUAAUUUCAUGAUCAAUUGAAUGAUCCAAGUAUAAUCAUGUCUAAUACUUAUUUUCUUCAUAUACUUAAUAGGUUCAUAUUCGUAGUUCAGGGUUCUGUGACUCUCACGAAUACAUCUAGCACCAGUCACAAACUAAUGGUGAGACUGUCUGGCAUACAUUCAUUAACUGCAUAUGAGCACACACUUGCUACAUUUGUAUUUGUGAAGCUAUAUCUUGUAGCUUUAGUUUUCUAGUUUUUUUGUUGGUGCAGGCCUUAGAAUUUUGAUGUUAUACUGUGGUUGUAUAGGUGGAUUCAUAUGCCUAUUUACCUCCGAAUUUUGAACAUUCUGUGGAAUGUGAUGCAUCUGCUACUCUUGCUGUCUUUGAACGAAGGUAUGCUUCCCUAGACAAUCUAAUUACUGAACUGAUUGUGGGUUCAACAGACGAGCAGCCAAUUCUUGAGACUCCAGGGGAGGUGUUUGAACUUAGGAAGCUUCUUCCCCCAUCAUUGCCUUAUGACUUCAAUAUCCAUAUCAUGGAUUUUCAACCCGGUGAAUUCCUUAAUGUGAAAGAAGUCCAUUAUAAUCAGCAUGGUUUACUGCUAUUAGAGGGAAAUGGUAUUUAUCGUCUGGGUGAUAGCUGGUAUCCAGUCCAAUCUGGUGAUGUCAUUUGGAUGGCCCCAUUUGUGCCUCAGUGGUAUGCUGCUCUCGGUAAAACCCGGUCACGGUAUUUGCUGUACAAAGAUGUAAACAGGAAUCCAUUGUAAUGACAUGCAGCAAAAAAUUUGCCCUUGGGCUUCAUUUCUGGCAAGGAGAGGUCAAUUUAUGGAGCAAUAAACAUGCUGCAAAAGCCUAUAAACGUUACAAUGGAUGGGUGACAGUCAUCCUUGUGUAAUCUGCUCAUGGUACCAGAAAACUGAGUUUGCAAAACUUAUUUGGUAAAUAAAUUGACAUUCUGUCCUCAUGUAAAAUAAAAGAUUCUUGAGCAUUGGUGGGAUAUUUUCUGUUGAUCAUAAAACUGAAAAGAUUAUAAUUUAGUUAACUACAUUUUAGUUUACCUUGCUUAUGAUUCUAUCAGAAACUCCUUGUGGCAAGUCAUCUGGCAUCUGCAUUUUAUUGUAAUUUUGAGAUAGUGAAAUGCCUUGCAAAAUUUGAAAUUUC